Molecule: transfer RNA, 64 nt
Filed under: Nepa hoffmanni
Lineage: Eukaryota; Metazoa; Arthropoda; Insecta; Hemiptera; Nepidae
Description: tRNA-Ile
Source: RNAcentral
AAUAGGAUGCCUGAGAAAAAGGAUCAUUUUGAUAGAAUGGGUCAUGCGCAAUACGCUUCUAUUA